GGUGAUGACCUCCUCGACGAAGUAGCGUGUGGGGCUGAAGCGGCCGCGCUCACGGAGGAGUAGGGACUUCUUGGAGGCGGCGUUCCCCGGGCCACCGGCAUCGGCGAUCCCCGGGCCGCCGGAGUCGAGGAUCGCCUCUAGGUAGCUGUUGAUCCAGUCGUUUCCGGCCAUCGGUGAGGAGGAGAGAGAGCUCUUGAAGCUUCUAGCGGAAGUGUAUUUAUAUAAA
This 226-nucleotide unclassified non-coding RNA is filed under the name Hevea brasiliensis (rubber tree). Lineage: Eukaryota; Viridiplantae; Streptophyta; Magnoliopsida; Malpighiales; Euphorbiaceae. The record is from RNAcentral.